RNAcentral lists this transfer RNA (59 nucleotides) under Beta vulgaris subsp. vulgaris (sugar beet). It matches the Rfam family "tRNA", at positions 15 to 71 of the family's 71-position model. Rfam says of the family: Transfer RNA (tRNA) molecules are approximately 80 nucleotides in length. Their secondary structure includes four short double-helical elements and three loops (D, anti-codon, and T loops). Further hydrogen bonds mediate the characteristic L-shaped molecular structure. tRNAs have two regions of fundamental functional importance: the anti-codon, which is responsible for specific mRNA codon recognition, and the 3' end, to which the tRNAs corresponding amino acid is attached (by aminoacyl-tRNA synthetases). tRNAs cope with the degeneracy of the genetic code in two manners: having more than one tRNA (with a specific anti-codon) for a particular amino acid; and 'wobble' base-pairing, i.e. permitting non-standard base-pairing at the 3rd anti-codon position. The record is from Rfam by way of RNAcentral. Lineage: Eukaryota; Viridiplantae; Streptophyta; Magnoliopsida; Caryophyllales; Amaranthaceae.
GUGGAUAGAGUAUUGGCCUCCGAAGCCAAGGGUCGUGGGUUCGAUCCCCGCCAGCCGCA